RNAcentral lists this ribosomal RNA (253 nucleotides) under uncultured bacterium. RNAcentral describes it as "partial 16S ribosomal RNA". It matches the Rfam family "Bacterial small subunit ribosomal RNA", at positions 524 to 776 of the family's 1533-position model. The record is from RNAcentral.
UACGGAGGGUGCAAGCGUUAUCCGGAUUCACUGGGUUUAAAGGGAGCGUAGGCGGGUGAUUAAGUCUGUGGUGAAAGCCCUCAGCUCAACUGAGGAACUGCCAUGGAUACUAUUUGUCUUGAAUGUCGUUGAGGUUUGCGGAAUGGGUCAUGUAGCGGUGAAAUGCGUAGAUAUGACCCGGAACACCAAUUGCGAAGGCAGCAGGCUAAACGAAAAUUGACGCUGAGGCUCGAAAGCGUGGGGAUCAAACAGG